RNAcentral lists this ribosomal RNA (484 nucleotides) under uncultured bacterium. Its description in RNAcentral is "bacterial SSU rRNA". It matches the Rfam family "Bacterial small subunit ribosomal RNA", at positions 28 to 526 of the family's 1533-position model. The record is from RNAcentral.
GACGAACGCUGGCGGCGUGCUUAACACAUGCAAGUCGAACGGAAAGGCCCCUUCGGGGGUACUCGAGUGGCGAACGGGUGAGUAACACGUGGGUGAUCUGCCCCUGACUUUGGGAUAAGCCUGGGAAACUGGGUCUAAUACCGGAUAUGACCAAUGGUUGCAUGACUGUUGGUGGAAAGCCUUGUGCGGUUGGGGAUGGGCCCGCGGCCUAUCAGCUUGUUGGUGGGGUAAUGGCCUACCAAGGCGACGACGGGUAGCCGACCUGAGAGGGUGAUCGGCCACACUGGGACUGAGACACGGCCCAGACUCCUACGGGAGGCAGCAGUGGGGAAUAUUGCACAAUGGGCGCAAGCCUGAUGCAGCGACGCCGCGUGAGGGAUGACGGCCUUCGGGUUGUAAACCUCUUUCACCAGGGACGAAGCUUUUGUGACGGUACCUGGAGAAGAAGCACCGGCCAACUACGUGCCAGCCGCCGCCGUAAAAC